CUAACUUUUUAUGACGCCCACUAUUGUGACGGAUUUUUGGUUCGUCGCAAAAUUCGUCAGAAAAAUGUUUGCGAAGGAAAUUAGCCUACUUUGCGACGGACUCCAGCCGUCGCUAAAACUAAAUUUUCUAGUAAUGGAGAUAUUAAUCAGGUGCAAAAAAAUUAUGUUGCUCCUAAGGUUUCUUAUGAUUGAGUUACAACCUCAAUGGAUUGAUUUGUUUGACCAUAUCUACCGGCAAUGUGAGGUUGUUGGGAUAGUUUAUGAAAACAACUUAUAUAUGACAUGUUUAAGUAAUUAUCACCAUCAUGUCCUUACCAGAGCUACUAUUGCACGGACUGGACACAGUAGAAAUGUCUCUAUCUAUACGAAUGUCUUCAUGCAGAAGCUUUGUUUGUGCUACCAUUUGUUCGCACGAGUGAGGGAUAUUGUCGAAAACGAAUAAUUUCAAGCGCCUCAUGAAUGGUCUAGAACAAUCACAAAGGAAAAUACAAGCAAAGGAUAAAAAAUAGUCAAAGUUCACAAGAUAUUUUACCAUUAGCGAGCAUUUUUCCAUUAACGAAAUUGUUCCAGAGAGUGUAUUGUACGCUGAUAGCGAAGUUUUGGCGAAGUCACUGAAGCAGAAUUGAAGCAAUUCGCUAUCAGCGAAUAUUUCACUGAUAGCAAAAUUGUUCCAUGGAGUAUUCGCCAUUGGCGAAAUUUUGGCAAGAUCAAGUAUUUCAAACAGGAUAAGGGCCAUGUGGAGCCACCCCAUUGGUGCAGAAGCAGAUUUCCAACAUUUCGCUGAUAGCGAAAUAUUUGGCUAUCAGCGAAAUUAUGCAGACUUGGCCCAUAUAAAUAGCUUUCUCUUCUCUUUUCAACCAUUCCAUUACUAUUUUAUUCAUUUUUCUGCAUACUUAGAGGGAGAACUAGGGUUUUUCUAGAGAGAGAAACACAAAGCAAGGUAGUUAAAAGUAGAUUCAACCCAAGAUUUGUCGAGACAUCAUGAAUCUAGGCAUGGAAUCUUCAUCUUUUCUUCAUCCUUUGUCAAGCUAUCAUAAAUAUAUGUAGCUACAUCUAUCCUUGUGGGUUUUGAGGUAUUCAAACAAGCUAUUAUGUAAACUCUUGAUAUUUUAAUAUAUGGUU
Long non-coding RNA from Medicago truncatula (barrel medic), 1122 nucleotides. RefSeq lists it as uncharacterized. NCBI's taxonomy places the organism in Eukaryota, Viridiplantae, Streptophyta, Magnoliopsida, Fabales, Fabaceae. The transcript is spliced from 4 exons. The record is from RefSeq and is a predicted model, not a curated record.